RNAcentral lists this ribosomal RNA (1224 nucleotides) under Triticum aestivum (bread wheat). Its description in RNAcentral is "partial small subunit ribosomal RNA". The record is from RNAcentral. Lineage: Eukaryota; Viridiplantae; Streptophyta; Magnoliopsida; Poales; Poaceae.
AUGAUGGCGGCGGUGGAGGGUGGCCGGAAGAGGAGGGCGCGCCGGGUUAGACGACGGGGUAGGCGUGAGCAGGGUUGCCGGGCCGCGGACCGAGCACCCCAGCGGCGUUUGGAGGCACCCAGGGCGCGCGCCCUUGGAGAGGGAACGGCGUGCCCCAUGGGGCGAAGUACCCCAUCCAGGGAGUGCUGCCCCCCGGGAUCAGAUGCUGCUGGUUGCGCCCGCCGUUGGGCCGCCGCGCCCAAGGCCGCGCCCAGCGCCGCGCCCGCGAGUGUUGUUGCCGGUGUGGGUGUGGCUGCCAGCGUCAGCGGGUGCUUUGUCGCGGUCACCGCGGUCACCACCGGAGGCAGGCCCGCCUCCGCCAGGGAAGCCGCCGCCGAGUCCGAUGGCGAGCGCGGUGGAGCUGUCGGUGCGAUCGCGCGCGUCCUGAGUGAUCUCCUCGAGCAGCAGCUGCGAGCGGGCCUGGUUGAAGGUGGGAAACGGAGUUUGCAUAGGCAGAACAGUGGCGAUCACCUGAUAGCGCCGAGAGAGCCCGCGGAGAAGCUGGAGGGUCAGGGUGCGGUCGGUGAUGGGCUCGUCGACGUCCGCGAGGGCGUCCGCCAGCGCCUUGAGACGCCCGCAGUACUCGGCGACGCGCAUGUCCCCCUGGGUGAGGGCGCGGAACUCGGUGCUGAGGUGCACGGCCUGGGCGGGCUGGUUGGCGAGGAAGAACUCCCGCAGCCUGUCCCAGGCGCGGAACGCCGUGUUGCUGCUGCCGCGGAUGACCUCGUACAGGGAGUCGGUGGUCGUGGCGUAGAGCAGCAACAGGAUGGUGAGGUCGGUGUGGCGCCAGACGGGCGUCUGGAGGGCGGGGUCGACGUAGUGGGCGACGUGAUCCUCGACGGCGUACAUGGAGAGAACGCAACGCCAAAGCUCGCGCCACUUGGAGUAGCUGCCGGACUGCACAUCGAGUUUGAAGGUGAUGAGGCUACCAAUGUUGUGGAGGUUGUGGAUGGAGGGGAUGGUGGUGGAAGAAGAGGGAGCCACAUCGGUGAUGGCAGGGGAGGAAGAAGAGGCAGCACAGUCAUGGCCGAAGGGGGGAUGGCGUCCGGAGCCGAGGCGACCGGAGCAACCAGCGGGGAGGACGUGGUUACCGGCGGAGGGGCAGGAGGGGUGUUGCCCGAGAGCUCGGCGGAGGAGGAGUCACCGGUGUCCAUGAGAAGAGAAGAGGCUCUGAUACCAAGCUGA